RNAcentral lists this non-coding RNA (26 nucleotides) under Homo sapiens (human). Lineage: Eukaryota; Metazoa; Chordata; Mammalia; Primates; Hominidae. The record is from RNAcentral.
UGCCUGGCACUUGGAAGCUUCCGGGG